This 2810-nucleotide ribosomal RNA is filed under the name Klebsiella pneumoniae. Its description in RNAcentral is "bacterial LSU rRNA". It matches the Rfam family "Bacterial large subunit ribosomal RNA". Lineage: Bacteria; Pseudomonadati; Pseudomonadota; Gammaproteobacteria; Enterobacterales; Enterobacteriaceae. The record is from RNAcentral.
CCGGCGAUGUCCGAAUGGGGAAACCCAGUGCAAUUCGUUGCACUAUCGUUAACUGAAUACAUAGGUUAACGAGGCGAACCGGGGGAACUGAAACAUCUAAGUACCCCGAGGAAAAGAAAUCAACCGAGAUUCCCCCAGUAGCGGCGAGCGAACGGGGAGCAGCCCAGAGUCUGAAUCAGCUUGUGUGUUAGUGGAACGGUCUGGAAAGUCCGACGGUACAGGGUGAUAGUCCCGUACACCAAAAUGCACAGGUUGUGAACUCGAAGAGUAGGGCGGGACACGUGGUAUCCUGUCUGAAUAUGGGGGGACCAUCCUCCAAGGCUAAAUACUCCUGACUGACCGAUAGUGAACCAGUACCGUGAGGGAAAGGCGAAAAGAACCCCGGCGAGGGGAGUGAAAAAGAACCUGAAACCGUGUACGUACAAGCAGUGGGAGCACCUUCGGGUGUGACUGCGUACCUUUUGUAUAAUGGGUCAGCGACUUAUAUUCUGUAGCAAGGUUAACCGUAUAGGGGAGCCGCAGGGAAACCGAGUCUUAACUGGGCGUUAAGUUGCAGGGUAUAGACCCGAAACCCGGUGAUCUAGCCAUGGGCAGGUUGAAGGUUGGGUAACACUAACUGGAGGACCGAACCGACUAAUGUUGAAAAAUUAGCGGAUGACUUGUGGCUGGGGGUGAAAGGCCAAUCAAACCGGGAGAUAGCUGGUUCUCCCCGAAAGCUAUUUAGGUAGCGCCUCGUGAAUUCAUCUUCGGGGGUAGAGCACUGUUUCGGCUAGGGGGUCAUCCCGACUUACCAACCCGAUGCAAACUACGAAUACCGAAGAAUGUUAUCACGGGAGACACACGGCGGGUGCUAACGUCCGUCGUGAAGAGGGAAACAACCCAGACCGCCAGCUAAGGUCCCAAAGUCAUGGUUAAGUGGGAAACGAUGUGGGAAGGCACAGACAGCCAGGAUGUUGGCUUAGAAGCAGCCAUCAUUUAAAGAAAGCGUAAUAGCUCACUGGUCGAGUCGGCCUGCGCGGAAGAUGUAACGGGGCUAAACCAUGCACCGAAGCUGCGGCAGCGACACUAUGUGUUGUUGGGUAGGGGAGCGUUCUGUAAGCCUGCGAAGGUGACCUGUGAGGGUUGCUGGAGGUAUCAGAAGUGCGAAUGCUGACAUAAGUAACGAUAAAGCGGGUGAAAAGCCCGCUCGCCGGAAGACCAAGGGUUCCUGUCCAACGUUAAUCGGGGCAGGGUGAGUCGACCCCUAAGGCGAGGCCGAAAGGCGUAGUCGAUGGGAAACAGGUUAAUAUUCCUGUACUUGGUGUUACUGCGAAGGGGGGACGGAGAAGGCUAUGUUAGCCGGGCGACGGUUGUCCCGGUUUAAGCAUGUAGGCUGGUUGUCCAGGCAAAUCCGGAUAAUCAAGGCUGAGGUGUGAUGACGAGGCACUACGGUGCUGAAGUAACAAAUGCCCUGCUUCCAGGAAAAGCCUCUAAGCAUCAGGUAACAUCAAAUCGUACCCCAAACCGACACAGGUGGUCAGGUAGAGAAUACCAAGGCGCUUGAGAGAACUCGGGUGAAGGAACUAGGCAAAAUGGUGCCGUAACUUCGGGAGAAGGCACGCUGGUGUGUAGGUGAAGUCCCUGCGGAUGGAGCUGAGACCAGUCGAAGAUACCAGCUGGCUGCAACUGUUUAUUAAAAACACAGCACUGUGCAAACACGAAAGUGGACGUAUACGGUGUGACGCCUGCCCGGUGCCGGAAGGUUAAUUGAUGGGGUUAUCCGUAAGGAGAAGCUCUUGAUCGAAGCCCCGGUAAACGGCGGCCGUAACUAUAACGGUCCUAAGGUAGCGAAAUUCCUUGUCGGGUAAGUUCCGACCUGCACGAAUGGCGUAAUGAUGGCCAGGCUGUCUCCACCCGAGACUCAGUGAAAUUGAACUCGCUGUGAAGAUGCAGUGUACCCGCGGCAAGACGGAAAGACCCCGUGAACCUUUACUAUAGCUUGACACUGAACAUUGAGCCUUGAUGUGUAGGAUAGGUGGGAGGCUUUGAAGCGUGGACGCCAGUCUGCGUGGAGCCAACCUUGAAAUACCACCCUUUAAUGUUUGAUGUUCUAACGUUGGCCCCUGACCGGGGUUGCGGACAGUGUCUGGUGGGUAGUUUGACUGGGGCGGUCUCCUCCCAAAGCGUAACGGAGGAGCACGAAGGUUAGCUAAUCCUGGUCGGACAUCAGGAGGUUAGUGCAAUGGCAUAAGCUAGCUUGACUGCGAGCGUGACGGCGCGAGCAGGUGCGAAAGCAGGUCAUAGUGAUCCGGUGGUUCUGAAUGGAAGGGCCAUCGCUCAACGGAUAAAAGGUACUCCGGGGAUAACAGGCUGAUACCGCCCAAGAGUUCAUAUCGACGGCGGUGUUUGGCACCUCGAUGUCGGCUCAUCACAUCCUGGGGCUGAAGUAGGUCCCAAGGGUAUGGCUGUUCGCCAUUUAAAGUGGUACGCGAGCUGGGUUUAGAACGUCGUGAGACAGUUCGGUCCCUAUCUGCCGUGGGCGCUGGAGAAUUGAGGGGGGCUGCUCCUAGUACGAGAGGACCGGAGUGGACGCAUCACUGGUGUUCGGGUUGUCAUGCCAAUGGCACUGCCCGGUAGCUAAAUGCGGAAGAGAUAAGUGCUGAAAGCAUCUAAGCACGAAACUUGCCCCGAGAUGAGUUCUCCCUGAGACUUUAAGUCUCCUGAAGGAACGUUAAAGACGAUGACGUUGAUAGGCCGGGUGUGUAAGCGCAGCGAUGCGUUGAGCUAACCGGUACUAAUGAACCGUGAGGCUUAACCUUACAACGCCGAAG